This is a long non-coding RNA of Dromaius novaehollandiae (emu), 908 nucleotides long. RefSeq lists it as uncharacterized. The transcript has 7 exons. The record is from RefSeq and is a predicted model, not a curated record. NCBI's taxonomy places the organism in Eukaryota, Metazoa, Chordata, Aves, Casuariiformes, Dromaiidae.
AGUGCGCAGAUUCAUGCCUACCUGGUCCCGCUCAGCCCGCGAUGCCUGCCAGGAUCGCAGUGGGAGAAGGUACGAGGGACAGGCUGAUUUCUCAGCACAUCAGAGUAAUAGCAGGGAUUUCCUCACUGGCGGUAGGAGAGCGUAUGUUGCACGUGACCAUCAACCAUGUUCCUCUUCUACCUGCCUGGGUGGGAGAUCACAGUGUGGGAGGCAGCAGUGUCCUCACCCAAACAGCUGGGUCAAACGCAAGGGUCGUCCAGCGCAGCGACGUGUCUCCAGUGGCCAGGAGUGGACACCAAGGAACACACGACAGGGCAAGCACCCACUGCUGUUUCCUCAAAAUGCCCUCGCAGCCUUCAGCAGCUUGGAGCUUGAGGACUUCCUGAGACAGCCUUGGCCCCAAGAGGCGAGAACUGGAAGAUAGUGUGCCACAGAGCAAGUAGAAAUGUUCGGUUACCGUCCAGAAGGGAUCCCGCUGGGCCCCUUGGAGCAAAAGGCUGUUGCUGCCUCUUUUAUUUGCGGAGGACAAACACGUGCGGAGCGGAGCAAGCGUUUGGCACGGCUGCCCGUAGCCCUCCGAGGGUGAUCCGGUGUCUGCAGACGAGGCCAGGUUUAUGUGGGCAGGACUGUUAGGACUUCAGAAAUUAAUGCUUCCUGAAAGCAGUAGAUUUCCCUCCGGGAUCACACGGCUUUCAGCCCUGCUCCUGGGUGAAGUUACAAUAUACCCCAACAAAACGAAACCAGUUUUGCUGUACUUCUGCUGUUUUCCUGGCACCAGAGCCACCAGCUCUGACGCCGUGACGUGCUCUCACGGGGACGGUGCGCUUCGAGCUCUUUCGCGUCCGUCCAAAGCUGGCUGCAUACACGCUUUCCGCUGCACGAAGUUUAUGUUACCGCUGUUAUCUUCA